GCCGCGGUAAGACGAACCGUGCGAACGUUAUUCGGAAUCACUGGGCUUAAAGCGCGUGUAGGCGGGUCGGUGCGUCGGCCGCUGAAAUCCCCCGGCUCAACCGGGGAAGGGGCGCCGAGACGGCCGGCCUGGAGCGACGUAGGGGGGACUGGAACUUCCGGUGGAGCGGUGAAAUGCGUUGAGAUCGGAAGGAACGCCCGUGGCGAAAGCGAGUCCCUGGACGUCGGCUGACGCUGAGACGCGAAAGCCAGGGGAGCGAAC
Molecule: ribosomal RNA, 261 nt
Filed under: uncultured bacterium
Lineage: Bacteria
Description: partial 16S ribosomal RNA
Rfam family: Bacterial small subunit ribosomal RNA
Source: RNAcentral